UUGAACGCUGGCGGCAGGCCUAACACAUGCAAGUCGAACGGUAACAGGAAGAAGCUUGCUUCUUUGCUGACGAGUGGCGGACGGGUGAGUAAUGUCUGGGAAACUGCCUGAUGGAGGGGGAUAACUACUGGAAACGGUAGCUAAUACCGCAUAACGUCGCAAGACCAAAGAGGGGGACCUUCGGGCCUCUUGCCAUCGGAUGUGCCCAGAUGGGAUUAGCUAGUAGGUGGGGUAACGGCUCACCUAGGCGACGAUCCCUAGCUGGUCUGAGAGGAUGACCAGCCACACUGGAACUGAGACACGGUCCAGACUCCUACGGGAGGCAGCAGUGGGGAAUAUUGCACAAUGGGCGCAAGCCUGAUGCAGCCAUGCCGCGUGUAUGAAGAAGGCCUUCGGGUUGUGAAGUACUUUCAGCGGGGAGGAAGGGAGUAAAGUUAAUACCUUUGCUCAUUGACGUUACCCGCAGAAGAAGCACCGGCUAACUCCGUG
RNAcentral lists this ribosomal RNA (489 nucleotides) under uncultured bacterium. Its description in RNAcentral is "partial 16S ribosomal RNA". It matches the Rfam family "Bacterial small subunit ribosomal RNA", at positions 30 to 507 of the family's 1533-position model. The record is from RNAcentral.